RNAcentral lists this long non-coding RNA (402 nucleotides) under Rattus norvegicus (Norway rat). Its description in RNAcentral is "long non-coding RNA NONRATT020433". Lineage: Eukaryota; Metazoa; Chordata; Mammalia; Rodentia; Muridae. The record is from RNAcentral.
CGUCGUUCUCGCUGUGAGGCUGGGGGCUGCGGACGGAAGCGGGACCACCCCUCCCGGGAUGCGAAGCGCGGGGCCGACCCAGAGGAGCCAACUCUGCGGCUCUCGGUGCAGCGAGUCCCCCGGCCCCGCUUCCUGUCGUGCAGAACUGGGCCGCUGUCCCCGAGGGUCUCGAGGGUCUCGGUGCAGCCUCCAGCUAGAGCCGCACCGGAAGCUGGGUGGGCCACGGAGUCGCGAAGCUGAGUUCCGCCAUGGCGCUCCAGGUAAGACGAGCCGUUGCGGACCGACGGACGCCUAGGUCGGGCUUCAGGGUGCAGCGCGAUCCCCGGGGCAACAGGCCCGGGAGGAGCCGUCACCGCCGACUUUGAGCUUGGGUGAGCGCAUCAAGGUCGGCCAGUGCCCAGG